UGGAAUGAAAGCUGGGGAAGGGGGAGUGGAGAAGGAAGCGGAGUGCUCUGGCUGAACCAGAUGGCUGCAGGACGCUGACAGCCUGCGCUCAGCCACGUGGAGAUGAGGACGUUUGGUGCUGGGCUUCCAGCUGGAGCUUCGUGCAUUUCCAUAAGAAGGAAUGGACAUUAUGUGCCUCGUGUGUCUUCUCCACUUGUCCUCUGAAGAGGGACCCCGCUGGGCUGCUCGCCCUCAUCACCUUCUGUUGGGCAGUUGAGAUAAGCAGCCUGGAUGCUGUUCCCAUUGACCAGCGCCAUCACCUCAUGCUUGGUGGAGCUGCCCCUUGUGUCCUCUUCCCCAUUCCCCUCAUCAUCAUCAUCAUCUUCCGAGUCCACCAGCACUAAGACAUCAUCCGAGUCCUGGCUCCUGUCAACAGCAGAGAGAG
Molecule: long non-coding RNA, 424 nt
Filed under: Gallus gallus (chicken)
Lineage: Eukaryota; Metazoa; Chordata; Aves; Galliformes; Phasianidae
Source: RNAcentral